GGUUCCCUGAUGCUUUUAGAUGAGGAUGAAGCCCCUUCUUUGGAGAAGAGAAAGAAUUCUCCCAGAAUUCUCUAUCUGGAAGAAGAAUAUCCUUCACCUCCGUGGUAUAUAAUUGUCAUGACUGAUUUUGACCUUGGAGAAGAGAUGAGGAAGUGCCCAAAUAAGCAUGGAGCUGACUGGCCACGUGGAGGAGGGGUCCCUUCAUCUCUGAGAGGAAGAAGGCUAAAGCUAAUAGGGAGGCAGAGAAAUCCCACAAAGAACUUGAUAAGACUCAUCCUAAUUAAGUCAUUAUAUGCAUUUGAAUACUCUCUAACUUCAAUAGAAAUGGAAGAAGAUGAAAACAAUAUAUGUUGAAUAAUAUAAUUCACAAGUAAGAAAUGGCCAAGGCCGAUAGCUUGUCAACUUGAUGGUAGCCUGUGGUAUAUCAUGAAUACUUUCUUGGCCCUGAAAAUGACAAAUACCCCCCUUCUCUACCCCUCAAAGGAAAUGGGUUCUAUUUUAACGGACAGGAAACAACUGAUUACUGAUAGGAACGCCACUUCUAAAUCAGCAGUCUGUGUACAGUUAGACCACUGGCUUGUCAGAAAAGAUGAAUAUCGGUUCUAAAUUAGAAGAAAGAAUAAAAAUAAGGACAUUUGCUGCCUGGAGUGUGCUGUAAUGGAUUGGAUUUGAGUCAAGAAAACUCAGUUUCUUCAAAUGAAUGAAGUAUAAGGACAAGAAUAGUACCUACUUCGAAGAAAUAUUGUGAAUAUCCAAUGUGCACCACCUUUAAACCUAAGCACUAUCUAUUUGUAUGCAUUAAUUUUGCUGUGGAUGCUGGGAAAAUGGGAACCAGAUCAAAGAAAAGGCCUCAAUAUAAGUCAUCAGCUUCUAAGGAAGCUUGACUGAUGUUUAUCAAUGGCCACUGGUUUGAAUCAUCUCAUUGUUGAAGAUCUUGAGAUCUUAAACUUAAACUUGGCAGCUUCCACCUGUUCAUCCUGGGUCAGAAGCAGCCAAAGACAAUGGAAGAGUUGGAGGUUGGGGAUGGACUGCUAUGCCGUUGGAGAGAAGGAGCAGGUCAUGAUCUGAAACCCCCAUUUCUGGUUUCAGAGACUAAUCAGACCAAGUCUAGGAGCAAAACACCUCGGAGCAGAUGGCGGCUACGCCAUGGGAGCUGUGGGCAGGUGGUUGGGCCCUACUGGUCUGGGCCAGUUAAUUAGACCCCAGCCACAGGAGGAACAACUCUGCGUUUUUCACCCAGCUGGCUUUCUACCCGAUGUUAACAAGGAGAGGCAAGUGGAAGUCAACAAGCAUUUGCCGAGGACCUACUGUGUGCAGGGCAAAGCCUGAUGACGUCAGAGGCAGAAAGCAGGUCCCCUCCCCCCACCCAGGGCCUUCCCUACUGUUCCCCCCCUUGCUUCCCUGCUUCUUCCAACCUGCAGCCUGGGAGGCAGGGCCUCUCUCCCUGCACAGCAGCUGGGGGGGGGGAAGGUGGUACCAUGUUUCCCUCACCCCCAGCCCAUGGCUCCCGGGCGGGGCCACCAAACCUGCUCUCCCAGGCCUUUCCUCUGCUGCCACUCAGUGCCAGGCCUUGGGGGUACUUCCUCCUUGGGGUUCCCUCCAAAACACUUCCUGAGAGUCGGUGGAGAACAGUCCCAGAAUGCUCAGAGAAACAGGGCCAGAGACCCAGAGAUUCAUUGGCCUUGUAAGGGCUGCAGUGUGGGAAAGCUAGAAAGGGACCUAGAACCAAGGACAGAAAGUCAGGCCCUGGGAUGGAAAAUAUGAGCUGAGAAGGAACUUGGGAUGUCAGAGGAACCUUAGGAGGGCAGAGAUGGAGGAGACCAUGGAACAAGAGCUGGGAUGCUCUUGAACAUGGAAACUACAUGGACUGUUACCUGGGGGGGCCCUCCGUCUCAGCCUCUCUGCAGAUGAAACACCAGAGCCUGGCCCCUUCAGUGCAGGAGACUUGGGCCAGAGGUUGGCACUCAGGGCUGUCUCUGCAGCUGCCCGUUCUCGGGCAGGAUGGCACAGGUGGGCAUCUUUGCCGGGUACCUUUGCCUGCCCAGCUGCAGCCCAGGGUCCUUCCAGGCCACCCUCUGGCCUAUGAUGGACGGGGAGCCCAGGGAGGGCCCAGCCCCUGCCGGCUAAUUUUAGCCUCCGGGACUUCAGAGCCCCAGCAUUAAGUGCCGGGUGUCACUUUGCAGCUGCCUCUCACUCUGGAGCAGUCACGCCAUCGGGAGGAAGCGUGGGUGACACAAG
Long non-coding RNA from Sarcophilus harrisii (Tasmanian devil), 2238 nucleotides. RefSeq lists it as uncharacterized. NCBI's taxonomy places the organism in Eukaryota, Metazoa, Chordata, Mammalia, Dasyuromorphia, Dasyuridae. The transcript has 5 exons. The record is from RefSeq and is a predicted model, not a curated record.